UAACUUUUAGUGUAAAAGCACAAAAAAUUUUGAUUUUUUUAGUAAUAAUUAAUUUUAUUAAAGUUAG
Molecule: transfer RNA, 67 nt
Filed under: Amblyomma vikirri
Lineage: Eukaryota; Metazoa; Arthropoda; Arachnida; Ixodida; Ixodidae
Description: tRNA-Gln
Source: RNAcentral